AGGAUGAACGCUAGCGGCAGGCUAAUACAUGCAAGCCGAACGGCAAGUUGAGUAGCAAUACUUGACCUAGAGUGGCGUAAGGGUGCGUAACACGUAUGCAAUCUACCCUCAACAGGAGAAUAGCUCCCCGAAAGGGGAAUUAAUACUCCAUAAGAUCACACGAAGGCAUCUGAGAGUGAUUAAACUACAAGGGGUUGAGGAUGAGCAUGCGAUUGAUUAGUUAGUUGGUGAGGUAACGGCUCACCAAGACGAUGAUCAAUAGGGGAACUGAGAGGUUGAUCCCCCACACUGGCACUGAGAUACGGGCCAGACUCCUACGGGAGGCAGCAGUAGGGAAUAUUGGUCAAUGGGUGAGAGCCUGAACCAGCCAUGCCGCGUGCAGGAAGAAGGCCUUCUGGGUUGUAAACUGCUUUUGCCGGGGGAUAAAAUGGCUUUGCGAAGCUAAUUGAAGGUACCCGGUGAAUAAGCCACGGCUAACUACGUGCCAGCAGCCGCGGUAAUACGUAGGUGGCAAGCGUUGUCCGGAUUUAUUGGGUUUAAAGGGUGCGUAGGCGGUUCUUUAAGUCAGUGGUGAAAUACAGCCGCUUAACGGUUGAGGUGCCAUUGAUACUGAAGAACUUGAGUACAGACGAGGUAGGCGGAAUUGACGGUGUAGCGGUGAAAUGCUUAGAUAUCGUCAAGAACACCGAUAGCGAAGGCAGCUUACUAGACUGUAACUGACGCUGAGGCACGAAAGUGUGGGGAUCAAACAGGAUUAGAUACCCUGGUAGUCCACACUGUAAACGAUGAUUACUCGAUGUUGGCGAUACACAGCCAGCGUCUUAGCAAAAGCGAUAAGUAAU
RNAcentral lists this ribosomal RNA (842 nucleotides) under uncultured bacterium. RNAcentral's name for it is "bacterial SSU rRNA". It matches the Rfam family "Bacterial small subunit ribosomal RNA", at positions 26 to 868 of the family's 1533-position model. The record is from RNAcentral.